This 861-nucleotide long non-coding RNA is filed under the name Lathyrus oleraceus (garden pea). RNAcentral describes it as "Pisum sativum (pea) long non-coding RNA (PSAT_LNC032229)". Lineage: Eukaryota; Viridiplantae; Streptophyta; Magnoliopsida; Fabales; Fabaceae. The record is from RNAcentral.
ACUACUAGAAUAAGUCAUUUUAGCCUCCUAGUUUAGAGUCGGCCACCGACACGGACACUAUUAGUGUCGGCUAAGCCUACACUAACGGACUCUAUCUAGGUACAUCUUUUAAGACAAGUUAUUUUUUUAUCAGUGUCGGCAAAACCGACUCUACUUGUUAUGUUAUCUUUGCAGAAUGUUUGAUUAAUUUAUUUAGAGUCGGUGAGACCGAUUCUAUCUAGUAGCAUUAUUUUUUAAUUACUAUUUAUUUACUUAGAGUCCGCUGAGCCGACUCUACUCUUAUUUUAUUUAUUAAUUAGAGUCCGCUUGGCGGACUCUAUGGAAUUUUCUAUUUCGGACCAAAAAUUACGCGACAGCUUAUUUCCCUCUUUCCUUUUCCCUCGUCAUUUUUCACUCUCCCUCCAUUUCAUUUCACAAAACCAAAACCCUAAUUCCAUGCUAAUUCGUGAAUCCCUUUUUUCCCUAUUUCGUGAACCGAUUCGUGAAUCCCUAAUCCGUGAAUCCAUUGAAGAAUCCCUAAUUCCCUAAUUCAAAAUCCCUCGUUAAAGGGUUUCUGAAUCAUCAAAGGUAAUGCAUAUUCAUCUCAAGUGAUUUCCAUGGAGUUUUGGUUUAAUGAGUAUGAGAUAGUCAUAUGUUUUAUGUUUUCUGAAUGUAGGUUUUCCAGAACUAUCGGCUUUGUGGAUGCUGGAAUCAAGUUUUCUUUGCAAGUUUAGUAUUGUUUCCAAAUAUGUUUAAAGUCUCCUUUAAGUCUGAAACUACAAAAAUCAAAUUAUUUGCUAAUUGGUUUUCUGAAUGUAGGUUUUCAAGAAUGCUCAUCUUACUUAGUGGAGGCAGUAAGCAGUUGUUGAAUGCAAGUUANNN